Herpailurus yagouaroundi (jaguarundi) is the source of this 1574-nucleotide RNA transcript. RefSeq lists it as uncharacterized. The transcript is spliced from 3 exons. Lineage: Eukaryota; Metazoa; Chordata; Mammalia; Carnivora; Felidae. The record is from RefSeq and is a predicted model, not a curated record.
CAAAGCUGGAAACUGAAAUAGUGAUCUAGAAGUUCAAAUGCAGUAAUUGACAACACAGAAUGAAUCUAAAGAAAUUGAAAUGAUCAUUGAAAAGUUGAUGCAUGAAGGAUAUAUCGUGGGAACUGAUAUCUCAAAAUCUCAAAGGGAGAAAAAGGGAUGUCUCUGAAAGUAGGAAAAAAAAGCAUGAUAAAUGUGAGCAAAAAAAGUAUGAAGUUAGAGGAUUUACUUAAGAUAUUCAAAAUCCAAUUAUGAGAGUUCCAGAGAGAACCAAAAUCAGACAGGAAGAAAUUACAAAAUAGAUUAUGAAGCAAAAUUUCUUAUUGUAUUUUAUUUAUUUUUAAAGGGCAUACAUUUCUAAAUGAUGAAAGUCUAUCAGUCUCUGGGAAAACCAUAAAAAAGUCUCAAACACACAUCAAAAUUUUUCAGAACAUUAAAUAAGAUCCUAAAAGCUUUCAGAGAAAGCGAAUUUAUAGAAAUGAUAACAUACAAAGAUUAGUAAAUAUGAUUUAUACCAGAUAUUUUAACAGUAACAAUGAAGGCUAGGAAAUAGUUUGAAGGGAGAUAAAUUUGUAUACCUAACAAAGACUGGAGAAUGGCCUCCACCAUCAUGAGGCAAAAAAAAAAAAAAAAAAAAAAAGGAAAGGAAAUGUAGAAGACGAAGGAGGGAUCCACAAAGGGUAUCUCCAAGAAAUAGUAAAUAAAAUGGACAGAGUCCUGAUGUGUCAGACUGUGGUAAGGUGAUAUGUUAAAGCAUUUUAAGAUGAUUUAAUAUGAGGUACACAGAACCAUGAACUAAAAUGAAAAAAAAAUGGCUGCACAAGAGGAAAUGUGAUCACUGUAUACAGCUCAGUUGUUAAUAAUAUUUCAGUAUAAACAGUAAAUAUUGAUUUAACAGCACCAACAGCCAUGAUGACAAAAGAUGACAGACUUCUACUGGGAGGCUCAGGAGACAGGAAGCACCUGCUUGUGCUGGGGAUGGGCCGGCAGAGAGGGGAAGGAGUGACAGGAGACAGGACCCUGACCUCGGUGUUUGUCGCGCCGGUCGCGACAAGUGGCGCCCAAACAGGGACCUGAGACAACAAGGAGGAAAGCGAAAGCGGACCGCGCGGCGUCUAAUUCAGAAUUUUGCCGCCGACUCCGAAUUGAGCAUACAACUGGCAUUGCUUAUAAUUCCACAGGACAGGCUAUUGUUGAGCGAGCUCAUCUGACUCUAAAACAAUAUCUGCAAAAACUUAAAGAAGGGGAGAUAUUAAAGGGAAAGAUAAAGUACUCCCCACAUGUACAUCUCACUCUUGUGUUGUAUGUUUUAAAUUUUUUAAAUAUCAAUGAAGCAGGGAUGACUGCCGCAGAGCGUCGCUGGGGAAAGAGUCAAGAACCUCUCUUGAUGGCUAGAUGGAAAGAUAUGCCGGAAGGCGUUUGGCGAGGCCCAGACCCAGUCCUUCGAAAAGGGCGAGGGUAUGCUUGUGUUUUUCCACAGGAUGAGGAAGCGCCACGCUGGGUCCCACUUUGGCUCCUCAGAGACAUUACGGUUGCGCCGAAAAAUGGCCAAAUUGACAGCGACGGAGCCCCCCCCC